UACGGAGGGUGCAAGCGUUAUCCGGAUUCACUGGGUUUAAAGGGUGCGUAGGUGGGUCUGUAAGUCCGUGGUGAAAUCUCCAAGCUUAACUUGGAAACUGCCAUGGAUACUAUAGGUCUUGAAUACCGUGGAGGUGAGCGGAAUAUGUCAUGUAGCGGUGAAAUGCUUAGAUAUGACAUAGAACACCAAUUGCGAAGGCAGCUCACUACACGAAUAUUGACACUGAGGCACGAAAAGCGUGGGGAUCAAACAGG
This 254-nucleotide ribosomal RNA is filed under the name uncultured bacterium. Its description in RNAcentral is "partial 16S ribosomal RNA". It matches the Rfam family "Bacterial small subunit ribosomal RNA", at positions 524 to 776 of the family's 1533-position model. The record is from RNAcentral.